CCAGACUCCUACGGGAGGCAGCAGUGGGGGAUAUUGCACAACGGGGGAAACCCUGAUGCAGCGACGCCGCGUGAGUGAAGAAGUAAUUCGUUACGUAAAGCUCUAUCAGCAGGGAAGAAAAUGACGGUACCUGACUAAGAAGCCCCGGCUAACUACGUGCCAGCAGCCGCGGUAAUACGUAGGGGGCUAGCGUUAUCCGGAUUCACUGGGUGUAAAGGGAGCGUAGACGGCGACGCAAGUCUGGAGUGAAAGCCCGGGGCCCAACCCCGGGACUGCUCUGGAAACUGCGGCGCUGGAGUACGGGAGGGGCAGGCGGAAUUCCUGGUGUAGCGGUGAAAUGCGUAGAUAUCAGGAGGAACACCGGCGGCGACGGCGGCCUGCUGGACCGUGAAUGACG
RNAcentral lists this ribosomal RNA (397 nucleotides) under uncultured bacterium. RNAcentral describes it as "partial 16S ribosomal RNA". It matches the Rfam family "Bacterial small subunit ribosomal RNA", at positions 331 to 745 of the family's 1533-position model. The record is from RNAcentral.